This 392-nucleotide ribosomal RNA is filed under the name uncultured Pelotomaculum sp. Its description in RNAcentral is "bacterial SSU rRNA". It matches the Rfam family "Bacterial small subunit ribosomal RNA", at positions 992 to 1382 of the family's 1533-position model. The record is from RNAcentral. Lineage: Bacteria; Bacillati; Bacillota; Clostridia; Eubacteriales; Desulfotomaculaceae.
UGACCGCGUAUAGAAGUACGUUUUCACCCUCGGGUGACAGGGAGACAGGUGGUGCAUGGUUGUCGUCAGCUCGUGUCGUGAGAUGUUGGGUUAAGUCCCGCAACGAGCGCAACCCCUACGUUUAGUUGCUAACGCGUGAAGGCGAGCACUCUAGACGAACUGCCGUUGACAAAACGGAGGAAGGUGGGAUGACGUCAAAUCAUCAUGCCCCUUAUGUUCUGGGCUACACACGUGCUACAAUGGCCGGUACAGACGGACGCAAAGCCGCGAGGUGGAGCAAAUCCUAAAAAGCCGGUCUCAGUUCGGAUUGCAGGCUGCAAUUCGCCUGCAUGAAGUCGGAAUCGCUAGUAAUCGCAGGUCAGCAUACUGCGGUGAAUACGUUCCCGGGCCUU